RNAcentral lists this transfer RNA (75 nucleotides) under Lentisphaerota bacterium. Its description in RNAcentral is "Lentisphaerae bacterium tRNA-Cys". It matches the Rfam family "tRNA". From Rfam's summary of the family: Transfer RNA (tRNA) molecules are approximately 80 nucleotides in length. Their secondary structure includes four short double-helical elements and three loops (D, anti-codon, and T loops). RNAcentral also lists the same sequence under 1 other name. The record is from RNAcentral. Lineage: Bacteria; Pseudomonadati; Lentisphaerota.
GGCGCGGUAGCCAAGUGGUAAGGCGGAGGUCUGCAAAACCUCUAUUCAUCGGUUCGAUUCCGAUCCGCGCCUCCA